RNAcentral lists this unclassified non-coding RNA (2062 nucleotides) under Leishmania donovani. Its description in RNAcentral is "gene:LdHU3.27.0030(CDS-product:hypothetical_prote in_conserved)". Lineage: Eukaryota; Euglenozoa; Kinetoplastea; Trypanosomatida; Trypanosomatidae. The record is from RNAcentral.
UGACUGGGCAUGCAACGCCAGCGGCUCACCUUAUCCCUCCCCUUCAGCAGUCCCCUAUCUUUUUGCCGCUCUACCGACGUUCUCUCUCCCUUGGUAGAUGCGAGGCCUCUCGCGCACUGCCGUUUUCAGCGCCGCUCAGCGUGCGCGCUUGUCGUGCAGCUGGACUGGUUUGGGCUGCCUUGUGACCGUGCCGACUCCUGUUGCCCGUACGCCCCCAGCACGCGCGACGCAGCAGCGAUGGGCUUCGACCUCCCGCGGGAGCUCAGGUGCGACGGGGCCGCAGACCCACCACCCCUCUCCCACGCCUGCUGGGCGGCGCGACGCCUUUCUUGGCGUUUUGCAGGUCACCUCCAAGAACAUUACGACCGAGAUGGAGUCGAAGGUUCCUUUACUUCUGUACUUCAUGGUUACCAACCACCCCGAGGUGAAGCAGUACACGGAGUUGCUUUGCCACCAGGUGGAUCAGGCGAAUCGCCGCCUCAAGACGAAAACUUCGGCGACGUGUAUCAAGAAUUUGGCGUGGACGCAGGUCUCGCGAUCAAGCUUGGCAUGGUAGACUGCCUACAGGAGCCGGGGCUCAUGUCCAAGUUUCACAUUGAUCCGCACAUGUUCCCCUUGAUCUACUUUGUGCGCAACAAGGUGUUCUGCGACAAGAUGGCCGGGGUGGUGACCGAAUCGCAGGUGAAGGAGGCCGUGGAGGCGUUUAUCGACUACGCCAAGUUGGAAUCCAAAAACGAGUCUGAGGGCGUCUCCUUAUUACAAAAGGUGAGGCGUCAGGACAAUGACGAUGAAAACGCCAUGACCCUCAUCGCCGCGGCGCACGGCAAGAUGCAGGCCGGUGACCCUGCGAAAGGCAAGCAACUCUUCGAAAAGGCACUUCGCAUGUCCAUGGAGGACAUCGAGAUCGUGAAGAAGCGCUACGGUGUUCCGGGAAGAAGAUGACGCCAGAGUUGUGGGCAAAGCUGAAGCGCGAGCCCUGCUACAACUCGGCUCCAGAGGCUUUGUGCGGACUUGCGAUGUGCGCCAUGGCAUCCAAGCAGCGAGACGAGGCAUUUCGUCUCGCGGCGCGGGUGCGCGAGGAGUUCCCGUUUGCUCCGCAGGACAUGCGCGGCGUUGCGGAGGCCGUUGUGCGCAUCGAGCUCAUUCAGGUAGUCGACUACGACCCCGACACGGACAACUACAUGCGACUUCUCAAAUUCGACGAGCUCGUGAGCGAGCCCGCACAGUUUUACAAGCACCACCUGAAGCGCGCUGUCGCCUUUUACGUGGAGGGAGUGGCCGGGCAGGCGAUUGAGGAGUGCCUUCGCCUCAUCCGCGCGGAACCGAAGCUGCUAUCUGCGCUCAAGGAAGGUGGCAUUGUACCGAAGGAUCUCCGCUUAGGUCCCACGGCUGUCACACCCGCGCGGCAGGUCAUUCGAGCCAUCUUUGAAGCGCUGGGACCCGCCAAUGAGCAUGCAGAGAAGGGCCGUAAGCUUCUUCAGCUGUAUCUCUAGCUCGUCAUGGACAGCGCCUGCGGAGCGGACUCCCAGAGGACUAGGGAAUAGCGAGCCAAUAACGGCGAAGAGACCAACCGGAGGAGAUGACCUCCAAGCAGUGCAUCGCUUCCAUACGGUGCAGGUGAAGGCGACAACAGCAAAGCGACCGGAAAAAAAAUGCUUUACUUUUUCCAUCAGCGGGCGCCUGUGCAGGAUUUAUUUUGCUCUCUCGUCUGUGCAUGCACAGCCGUUGCUCAACCGCAUCACACCAGAGAACAUUUUUUCUUCUGCCUUCGUGCUCACCCUUCGCACCGAAACGGCACCGCGGACGCUGCUGCGGGGGCAGCCAUGCGCCGCCAGUAUGACAUAUACCCUGCAAUACCUGAAGGAAUGCACUAGCGCUGCUUGCGUCCAGAUCAAGAAUGCGGGGGGGUCGUAUCUGCGACCCGCUGCAGCUUUCAGCGGUCAUGGUAGGUAACGCCUUAGCACAGGUACUUUGUUUCUCCAGCAGUGCUGCACGUACCUAUACAGGAGGGGUCUCCUUCUCUCCACUCGAGUUGGUCCGUCUUCUGAUACCGUGCACGCAG